This 389-nucleotide ribosomal RNA is filed under the name uncultured microorganism. Its description in RNAcentral is "bacterial SSU rRNA". It matches the Rfam family "Archaeal small subunit ribosomal RNA", at positions 330 to 719 of the family's 1478-position model. The record is from RNAcentral.
GCGCAGCAGGCGCGAAAACUUCACACUGUGCGAAAGCACGAUGAGGGAAUCCCAAGUGCUUGCACGUAAGUGUAAGCUGUUUCUCUGUUUAAAACGCAGAGAGAGUAAGGGCUGGGUAAGACGGGUGCCAGCCGCCGCGGUAAUACCUGGCAGCUCAAGUGGUGACCGUUAUUAUUGGGCCUAAAACGUCCGUAGCCGGUUUAAUAAAUGCCUGGGUAAAUCGUGUAGCUUAACUAUACGAAUUCCGGGUAGACUGUUAAACUCGAGACCGGGAGAAGUUAGAGGUACUCCUGGGGUAGAGGUGAAAUUCUGUAAUCCUAGGGGGACCACCAGUGGCGAAGGCGUCUAACUAGAACGGGUCUGACGGUGAGGGACGAAGCCCUGGGGCG